AUCAUAUCUAUAUGCAAUUAGAUCAUAUCUAAUUUAUAUUUAGAUCAUAUCUAAAUAUAAAUCAAAAUUAAAAUUUCAUACCUGAGUGCGGAUAGAAAAUCAUCAUAUUCGAAGUCUGUGGUAGUUGGUUCUUCAUGAUGCUCGACAGCUGCACACAUGUUCGACCUCUACAGGUAUCCACACGAAGCCCAUGUACUGAUCGAUGACCCCA
Molecule: long non-coding RNA, 211 nt
Filed under: Elaeis guineensis (African oil palm)
Lineage: Eukaryota; Viridiplantae; Streptophyta; Magnoliopsida; Arecales; Arecaceae
Description: long non-coding RNA (EGUI_LNC032706)
Source: RNAcentral